UGCGGGAGAGUAGGUUAUUGCCAGGGUUUUUAUUUUUAUACUUUAAACUUUGAUUUUAUUUUUAUGUUUUUUAAAUAUUGGUGUUUUUGAAUGUGUUGUUUAAAUAACAUAAAAAAUAAAAUAUAUAUUGACAUGUAUUAAACAAAGAUAUAUAUUAUUUUAUGUUGUAUAAAUAAAUUGGCAAAAUAGAGAUGGAAGAUAAAAAUAUGGUCAAAGUAAUAAGAGUCUAUGGUGAAUGCCUAGAAA
This 246-nucleotide unclassified non-coding RNA is filed under the name Borreliella burgdorferi (Lyme disease spirochete). RNAcentral's name for it is "partial 5S-23S ribosomal RNA intergenic spacer region". Lineage: Bacteria; Pseudomonadati; Spirochaetota; Spirochaetia; Spirochaetales; Borreliaceae. The record is from RNAcentral.